AUUUUAGGGNUUUUCUGCUCAUGAAAUUUAAAUGGCCGCAGUACUUUGACUGUGCUAAGGUAGCAUAAUCAAUUGUCUUUUAAUUGGAGACUAGAAUGAAUGAAUUUAUGGUUAAAUUCUUUAUUUAUAUAUUUUAUUAAAAUUUAUUUAUUAGGUGAAAAUACCUAAAAUAAUUUAUUAGACGAGAAGACCCCAGGAAUUUAAUUUUUUUUAUUGGGGCGAUAUCUAAACAUUAACAAAAUAACUUUAGAUUUUUAUUAAAUAAAACGAAGAUUUUUUAAUUAAAAAUAAAUUACCCUGGGGAUAACAGCAUAAUUUUUUAUAAAGAUUGUGACCUCGAUGUUGGAUUAGAAAAAAAUUUUACUUAAAGAGUAAUUUUUUAUGUUCUGUUCGAACAAUAAUAAUUUUUCUACGUGAUCUGAGUCCAACC
This 430-nucleotide ribosomal RNA is filed under the name Succinea caduca. RNAcentral describes it as "partial 16S ribosomal RNA". The record is from RNAcentral. Lineage: Eukaryota; Metazoa; Mollusca; Gastropoda; Stylommatophora; Succineidae.